This 31-nucleotide non-coding RNA is filed under the name Homo sapiens (human). The record is from RNAcentral. Lineage: Eukaryota; Metazoa; Chordata; Mammalia; Primates; Hominidae.
UGACUCAAUGUGUCCCUGAGCUGUGGCCAGC